RNAcentral lists this ribosomal RNA (483 nucleotides) under uncultured bacterium. RNAcentral describes it as "partial 16S ribosomal RNA". It matches the Rfam family "Bacterial small subunit ribosomal RNA", at positions 29 to 506 of the family's 1533-position model. The record is from RNAcentral.
AUUGAACGCUGGCGGCAUGCUUUACACAUGCAAGUCGAACGGCAGCGCGGGCUUCGGCCUGGCGGCGAGUGGCGAACGGGUGAGUAAUGCAUCGGAACGUGCCCAGUAGUGGGGGAUAGCCCGGCGAAAGCCGGAUUAAUACCGCAUACGACCUGAGGGUGAAAGCGGGGGACCGAAAGACCUCGCGCUAUUGGAGCGGCCGAUGUCGGAUUAGCUAGUUGGUGGGGUAAAGGCUUACCAAGGCGACGAUCCGUAGCUGGUCUGAGAGGACGACCAGCCACACUGGGACUGAGACACGGCCCAGACUCCUACGGGAGGCAGCAGUGGGGAAUUUUGGACAAUGGGGGCAACCCUGAUCCAGCCAUGCCGCGUGCGGGAAGAAGGCCUUCGGGUUGUAAACCGCUUUUGUUCGGGAAGAAAUCCUCUGGGCUAAUACCCCGGGGGGAUGACGGUACCGGAAGAAUAAGCACCGGCUAACUACGU